Felis catus (domestic cat) is the source of this 2682-nucleotide long non-coding RNA. RefSeq lists it as uncharacterized. The record is from RefSeq and is a predicted model, not a curated record. Lineage: Eukaryota; Metazoa; Chordata; Mammalia; Carnivora; Felidae. The transcript has 4 exons.
GAAAUUCCAACCACAUUUGCCAUCCAAGUUCCACAGGGAGCUCCUAGAAACAGCUAAGGUGCAAGGGAACAAAAAGAUUAAGAAGGUUCCAACAUUGACUCUCCAAAUUAGCUGGCCGCUUGUAAAGAAUCGGUUUUCUUAACAAGCCUGCUUUCAGAUUUGAGUGGGAGAGCAAAUUCCUGGAAGUCCCAUAAAAAGGUAUGGAUUUAAUCAAUUGUGGAAUAGAUAUUCCCCAGACAAGAAGUCUCAUGGAGAGAAAUUCAAAGCAAUGAUAUAAUUCCAUUGGGCACCAAUGGAAAAAAAAAAAAAAAACACUAGUAACCUUAUUGCUCUUUUUGGGCCUGUUUGAUUCUCCAAGGAUAUCACCCUGUUCAACGAGGAAAUUCAUGACUAUUGCCAAGGGAGCCUAGGCUGAGUACCAAAUGGCACAGUUGCAAUGAAUCCAGCACAGAAGCCCCACAUGGGAAAAAGUUUUCUCACCUGUAAAACAAAGGCGUUGGCAAAACAGUCCCAUCAGCAUCCUGUGGUAUUAUGAAAACCUAGCAUUUGGAAUCGUAGUCAAGAGAUGGCAAGUAUUUUGGCCUCCAGUGACACCUGCAGUAGAUUGGUUUUUAUGAGCUGCCUGGAGAAUGGAGAAAGAUUCUGAUGCUCAGUCUAAGCUCAGAGGGAAAGAGCCAAGAACUUUAAUAGUGUCUGGAUCGGGAGUUGGGAGUGGCCAGAGUCCACCAUGUGAAUGGAGAAGCGAAGAAAACAAGUCUACAGAGAGAAAAAUAAUGAAGUGCAAGUGAAAAGAGAACUCUGGGUUCUUGGUUGCUUCCCGGCCCUGACGCCAAUCCUUCCUGAGGGCUGGAUCCGUGUGCCUUUGAGUUUCCCUGAAUCCUUACAAUAAUUUCCCGCUCCCUGAAGCUUAUUCUACUUAAUUAUUAUGCACACUUAUCUGUGCUUUUGCCUUACCUACACUCUGCCUUCAAGUCCCUGCUCAAGGUAACUUUCUCCAGAAACCUCUUUCUAAUCCCCCCAGACAGAAAUAAUGUCUUCAUCUUAUAAAUUCCUACAGCAGUGCAUUUAUAGACUUCUGAUGACAUAUCUGCCUUAGUGCAUACCUUCGUGAUUAUGCAUCCUAUUUUUUAUCACAAUUUCUAAGUUUCUGGUGGAGAAGGACCCAUGCCUUACUCAUUAUUGUAAUCUCCGUAUACCAUGCACAGUAGAAGUGAGCAGCCCUCAACCUUUGUUAAAAGAAUGGAUGAACCAGUGAACACCUUUUAUUCAUUCUCUACUGUUGUGCAAAUCCCUAAACCUCUCUCCUUCAGGCUGGUAUUACAGAAGUGGAGAUUUGAUAAGCCAAUUUAUCCAGUUACUCUGAGCAACGUAGACAGACAAAUAAGGUAAUUGUGACCCAGAAAUCUACUCCAGGGCCAGAAUGAUGACGUUUGGUUGUCAAUAGUGAUCACAUUUAAUUAUAAAAUUGCCAGAUCUCUGUUGUUGUCAGUAUUGGACAUCACCUAAAAGUAAAGGGAUGACAGGCUGUUCCGAGCAUCUGCAGCCUUUAUGUAAUAAGCGUGUUUUCAUUUAAGAAAAAUUGUGCCUUUUUCUGAGUAAGAUCAGAGCCUUUUAGAAUUGCUUAUCUUUUUUUGUACAAACUUUCUUCAGUGGUUAUGAUGAGGGAACUAUUAAUGUAUAAUUCCUAGAGUUAUUAAAGUAGUGCCAAUUGAUUUUAAUUCACACCAUAUAAAUGAAUCCUUUGCGAGUUGAUGUAGAAGAGAGCUGAGAAUAAAGAUUAGGGUUUAAGAAAUAAUCACUGCAGGAACAGAAAGAAGUCACCUGAGGUGCAACGUGACUUUGUGAAGUAGGUUAUUAACCCGUCAGGGACCGGUGUCCCUUCCAAACACCUCUUUGGUCUUUCAUGACCUUAUCACAACCCUUUCCAGAUGAAAGCAUAGCUACAAUCACUAUGUUUUAUGCCAUACACUCAGUUUCUCAAGUAGCAGGUUAUUCCCAGGGUGUGACUUGCUAUGGGAUCUGUCCAUACAUAUGUUAAUCCACCACCGUAACUAGAAAAAAACCUGUCGCUCUGCAGUAAUAGUUACCAGGGAGUUAGAGCGGCAAAAUUGCAAGUGUUCACUUUCCCAGGAUCCAUAAUUUGAAAUGGUCAUUCAUCAGUAACCAAUUUGCUCAUUUUGGUGUUCAGGCUUAAGCACGUUGCAUUUGCAUGCAGUAACUGGUAAAUAAACCUUAAGUGUUUAUUUACUGAGUUUAAACUCACUCCAUUGCUAUUAUCAAAAAUAAACCAAAAAUUAAGACUCUUAAUGUCUAUGGCAUUUUCUUAUCUGUGCUUAACAGCUAAGGGUAUGCUUAAAUCCAUGCUUUGAAAAGGCAUAUUGAAAAAAACAUCGUUCACUAUCUCUAACAAUUGAUUAUCAUAUCUUCUAUAAUUUUAAAGGUUCUUUAAGCCUAAAAAAGGAAAAAGUCUCUUAAGAUUGGUGAGAGGGAUUUUAAAGGAGAAUCCUUCCUUAACCUGAUAAAUUCCUUUUAGCCAGCCAGGAUAGAAAAUGGAAGACACAAGCAACCACAAAGAAAAUUUCUAAAAGUCACCAUUAAUACUACUUUCCUGAAAGAACCAAGGUUAAAGUUUUGUUUUAUAUUCUUUCAGUCAUCUUACUUUGCAUAUAUAUACAUAUAUAU